UACAGAGGGUGCGAGCGUUAAUCGGAAUUACUGGGCGUAAAGGGCGCGUAGGUGGUUAUGUAAGAUUGAUGUGAAAUCCCUGGGCUUAACCUAGGAACUGCAUCGAUGACUGCAUAGCUGGAGUACUGUAGAGGGUAGUAGAAUUUCCGGUGUAGCGGUGAAAUGCGUAGAGAUCGGAAGGAAUACCAGUGGCGAAGGCGGCUACCUGGACAGAUACUGACACUGAGGCGCGAAAGCUAGGGUAGCAAACGGG
This 253-nucleotide ribosomal RNA is filed under the name uncultured bacterium. RNAcentral's name for it is "partial 16S ribosomal RNA". It matches the Rfam family "Bacterial small subunit ribosomal RNA", at positions 524 to 776 of the family's 1533-position model. The record is from RNAcentral.